Molecule: ribosomal RNA, 497 nt
Filed under: uncultured bacterium
Lineage: Bacteria
Description: partial 16S ribosomal RNA
Rfam family: Bacterial small subunit ribosomal RNA
Source: RNAcentral
GAUGAACGCUGGCGGCGUGCCUAACACAUGCAAGUCGAGCGAACAGACGAGGAGUUUGCUCCUCUGACGUUAGCGGCGGACGGGUGAGUAACACGUGGAUAACCUACCUAUAAGACUGGGAUAACUUCGGGAAACCGGCUCUAAUACCGGAUAAUAUAUUGAACCGCAUGGUUCAAUAGCGAAAGACGGUUUUGCUGUCACUUAUAGAUGGAUCCGCGCUGCAUUAGCUAGUUGGUACGGUAACGGCUUACCACGGCAACGAUGCGUAGCCGACCUGAGAGGGUGAUAGGCCACACUGGAACGGAGACACGGUCCAGACUCCUACGGGAGGCAGCAGUAGGGAAUCUUCCGCAAUGGGCGAAAGCCUGACGGAGCAACGCCGCGUGAGUGAUGAAGGUCUUCGGAGCGUAAAACUCUGUUAUUAGGGAAGAACAAAUGUGUAAGUAACUAUGCACGGCUUGACGGUACCUAAUCAAAAAGCCACGGCUAACUACGUG